Molecule: non-coding RNA, 61 nt
Organism: Sphingobacteriales bacterium 50-39
Lineage: Bacteria; Pseudomonadati; Bacteroidota; Sphingobacteriia; Sphingobacteriales
Source: Rfam
AGUAGCUCAAUGGCAGAGCGCCGGCCUGUUAAGUCGGUGGUUGAAGGUUCGAGUCUUUCUU